Long non-coding RNA from Antechinus flavipes (yellow-footed antechinus), 962 nucleotides. RefSeq lists it as uncharacterized. The transcript has 3 exons. The record is from RefSeq and is a predicted model, not a curated record. NCBI's taxonomy places the organism in Eukaryota, Metazoa, Chordata, Mammalia, Dasyuromorphia, Dasyuridae.
CUCGCCCCCCGCCCUUUGCCGCUGUUACUGCCCCCAGGGCUGGGUCUAGCGACCGGAUUGUGUGAACUGCCCCUCAGCUCCUGCAUUGUGAUCGAUCUGGGGUGGGGCUGGGGGUAGGGUGGGGGGCCCCCGCCGGAACGGUCGGGGUGGGGGAAGGACAGGAGAGUCGCCUCGCCCCUCCCCCUAUGCUGUCUACGGGGCGGAGCUGGCCUGACUGGGAGGGGGCGGGGGCGGGGUAUGCCGAGGUAGACAUCUCCCCCCUCCAUUUCACCCCUUCCUGAUUCUCUCUUCCUCCCCCCUCCUCCCUUUGCCCACCGGCGCCGCUUUACCUGCUCGGCUUGGGGAAAGCAGCCUUGUGACCUUUUAAGGCUCGGAAAAGAAAGCAAUAAAAGGGGUAUGGUUUGAAGUGAGAAGUCCAAGAGCUAGAAGAUCCCUUGAAGAAAUAAGUUGUUUUGGAAGCAGGCAUAGUACUGAGAAGAAUAUAAGCCAUUUUCAUCAAGGUAGAGAACAUGAAGAACAAAAUGAUGUGAUUGUGAACUGUGUGACAGAAAAAUCAGUCAUAAACCUAAAUGGGGCAGCAAGCGAAGACUACAAUAAUACAAAGGGAAAAAGAAUAAUACUUCUAGAUUUUAAAUGUUAAUUAACUCCAUACAGAUUUGUAGUAGCAAAACAGAUCCACCAAAUCUUCUACUCAGAUUGCUUCUGCCACUGCACAUAAAUCCACCCUGCUACUCAAUCCCACAGUAAGUCACUGUCUUGCUCAAGACUUUGUUGACCCUUAAUUUUGAGCUCUGACAAAGGUGUUGACCAAAACUUCUACUUGGUGACCCUUUAUAACAAGCCUGAUUUAUUGUCUGUAAGUGUAUUCAUAAAUACAUUCACGUUAGAUCUAGAGGGGAAAAAUAAUAUAAGGUUAAGUCAUGAUUAGGAGAUUUUAAUUUAAUAUAAGAGCCAGAGUUUCA